AGGAUGGCUGUAGGACACAUAGCAACAGUGUGUCGGGAGUGCCUGCAAGGCCUGGCUUUCCUUCAUGCCAACCAGGUGAUCCACAGAGACAUCAAAAGUAACAACAUCCUUCUGGGCCGGGAUGGCUCCGUCAAGCUGGCCGAUUUUGGCCUCUGUGCUCCGUUCAGCCCUGAG
This is a long non-coding RNA of Vidua macroura (Pin-tailed whydah), 174 nucleotides long. RefSeq lists it as uncharacterized. NCBI's taxonomy places the organism in Eukaryota, Metazoa, Chordata, Aves, Passeriformes, Viduidae. The record is from RefSeq and is a predicted model, not a curated record. The transcript is spliced from 3 exons.